This 222-nucleotide long non-coding RNA is filed under the name Lathyrus oleraceus (garden pea). RNAcentral describes it as "Pisum sativum (pea) long non-coding RNA (PSAT_LNC041568)". The record is from RNAcentral. Lineage: Eukaryota; Viridiplantae; Streptophyta; Magnoliopsida; Fabales; Fabaceae.
CUGAAGUAAGUGGACGGUAGCUCGCUCGAGAUUAGCCGGAGAGUUUCCGUAUUUUAGUUUGAAGACUAGGUAAUGAGUCAAUGCUCUGGUCAUGUAACACUGGGUAGAUUAGUAGUAUUGAACUCAUAUCUGAUUUGGAUAAGUAUUAUGUUAUUACUUGUGAACAUGCUUAUUUGCAAUUGCUGUUUGAGAGGCCAUAAUGCCAAAUAUUCUGGUUAUGGU